This 460-nucleotide ribosomal RNA is filed under the name uncultured bacterium. Its description in RNAcentral is "partial 16S ribosomal RNA". It matches the Rfam family "Bacterial small subunit ribosomal RNA", at positions 338 to 795 of the family's 1533-position model. The record is from RNAcentral.
CCUACGGGAGGCAGCAGUGAGGAAUAUUGGUCAAUGGCCGGAAGGCUGAACCAGCCAUGCCGCGUGAAGGUCAGUGCCCUAUGGGCGUUAAACUUCUUUUGUGCGGGAGCAAUAAUGGUCACGUGUGGCCAGACGAGAGUACCGUACGAAUAAGCAUCGGCUAACUCCGUGCCAGACGCCGCGGGAAUACGGGGGAUGCAAGCGUUAUCCGGAUGUAUUGGGUUUAAAGGGUGCGUAGGCUGUGAGGUAAGUCAGCGGUGAAAAGCCCCCGCUCAACGGGGUGAAGUGGCAUUGAUACUGCCUUGCGGGAAUGCGGAUGCCGUGGGAGGAAUGUGUGGUGUAGCGGUGAAAUGCAUAGAUAUCACACAGAACACCGAUUGCGAAGGCAUCUCACGAAUCCGCGAUUGACGCUGAUGCACGAAAGCGUGGGUAUCAAACAGGAUUAGAUACCCUAGUAGUC